CCUACGGGUGGCUGCAGUGGGGAAUAUUGGACAAUGGGGGGAACCCUGAUCCAGCCAUGCCGCGUGUGUGAAGAAGGCCCUCGGGUUGUAAAGCACUUUCAGUGAGGAAGAACGCCUGGUGGUUAAUACCCAUCAGGAAAGACAUCACUCACAGAAGAAGCACCGGCUAACUCCGUGCCAGCAGCCGCGGUAAUACGGAGGGUGCGAGCGUUAAUCGGAAUUACUGGGCGUAAAGCGCGCGUAGGGGGCUUGAUAAGCCGGUUGUGAAAGCCCCGGGCUCAACCUGGGAACGGCAUCCGGAACUGUCAAGCUAGAGUGCAGGAGAGGAAGGUAGAAUUCCCGGUGUAGCGGUGAAAUGCGUAGAGAUCGGGAGGAAUACCAGUGGCGAAGGCGGCCUUCUGGACUGACACUGACACUGAGGUGCGAAAGCGUGGGUAGCAAACAGGAUUAGAUACCCUUGUAGUC
RNAcentral lists this ribosomal RNA (465 nucleotides) under Vreelandella stevensii. Its description in RNAcentral is "partial 16S ribosomal RNA". It matches the Rfam family "Bacterial small subunit ribosomal RNA", at positions 338 to 795 of the family's 1533-position model. Lineage: Bacteria; Pseudomonadati; Pseudomonadota; Gammaproteobacteria; Oceanospirillales; Halomonadaceae. The record is from RNAcentral.